This 213-nucleotide small RNA is filed under the name Chlorocebus sabaeus (green monkey). RNAcentral's name for it is "Metazoan signal recognition particle RNA (ENSCSAG00000027912.1)". The stretch from base 42 to 198 matches the Rfam family "Metazoan signal recognition particle RNA", at positions 96 to 252 of the family's 299-position model. Rfam says of the family: The signal recognition particle (SRP) is a universally conserved ribonucleoprotein. It is involved in the co-translational targeting of proteins to membranes. The eukaryotic SRP consists of a 300-nucleotide 7S RNA and six proteins: SRPs 72, 68, 54, 19, 14, and 9. The record is from RNAcentral. Lineage: Eukaryota; Metazoa; Chordata; Mammalia; Primates; Cercopithecidae.
GUUGAGGGGUUGGAAGAGACCUUUAGAACAGCUGGUUGUUAUGCCAACUAGGUGUCUGCACGAAGUUUGGCAUCAAUAUGAUGACCUCCCGGGAGCAGGGGGCCACCAGGUCGCCUAAGGAUGAGUGAACUGGCCCAGAUCAGAAAGGGAGCAGGUCAGAACUCCCACACCGACAGGUAGUAGGACUGUGCCUGGGCAACAUAGCAAGAUCUU